UACGGAGGAUCCAAGCGUUGUCCGGAUUUAUUGGGUUUAAAGGGUGCGCAGGCGGACUUUUAAGUCAGUGGUGAAAGCCGACAGCUCAACUGUCGAACUGCCAUUGAAACUGAAAGUCUUGAAUGCGGUCGAGGUAAAUGGAAUGUGUCAUGUAGCGGUGAAAUGCUUAGAUAUGAUACAGAACACCUAUUGCGAAGGCAGUUUACUAGACCGAUAUUGACGCUCAGGCACGAAAGCGUGGGGAGCGAACAGG
This 253-nucleotide ribosomal RNA is filed under the name uncultured bacterium. RNAcentral's name for it is "partial 16S ribosomal RNA". It matches the Rfam family "Bacterial small subunit ribosomal RNA", at positions 524 to 776 of the family's 1533-position model. The record is from RNAcentral.